AAAUGCUCCUGUACCAAGGACCGGACAGAGCUCAGCCACGCUACACUAGAGGUGCAUCUUAUAGGGCGAAAAAUAAGGCACUUGCUUGCUCCUCCUCCCGACCUUCCCUGCCCUUUGCAUACGCAGCGUGCCGUGACUUCACGCGGAGGCACUGAAUCUUGGAGACCUGGAAAUUGGUGUCCACUGACAGUCCCCUUCCAACCUGACAGAGCUUGAGAGGAUCUGUAGACCAGCAUUGUAGAACAUCCAAAGGAGGGAGGCUGUAAUCACUGAUAAAGGUGCUUCAAACAAGUACUGAGUAAAAGGUCUGAAUACUUAGGUCAAUGCAAUGUGUUUUCCAUUUUCAAUAAAUUAGAUUUUAAACGUU
Molecule: long non-coding RNA, 367 nt
Organism: Bufo gargarizans (Asiatic toad)
Lineage: Eukaryota; Metazoa; Chordata; Amphibia; Anura; Bufonidae
Exons: 3
Source: RefSeq, a predicted model, not a curated record